UCUAGAUGAUGGGCUUAGAU
RNAcentral lists this non-coding RNA (20 nucleotides) under Arabidopsis thaliana (thale cress). Lineage: Eukaryota; Viridiplantae; Streptophyta; Magnoliopsida; Brassicales; Brassicaceae. The record is from RNAcentral.